Molecule: long non-coding RNA, 1961 nt
Organism: Anguilla rostrata (American eel)
Lineage: Eukaryota; Metazoa; Chordata; Actinopteri; Anguilliformes; Anguillidae
Exons: 3
Source: RefSeq, a predicted model, not a curated record
AUCAUUUUAAAUCAUGGUGGCAAAAUGAUAUUUAUUUUCUAAUUGCAUGCCAAAAAGAUUCCUGUAUUAUUUCAAAUAUGGAUUCAUUAGCACCAAUGUACAAUUAAGUGUUAUACACGUAAAAACUGCCAACUAAACAACAGAUGAAACAUUUACCCAUAACCCAUUUUUGAAUAAAUUGCAUCAUGGGCCGAUAGAUUUGCUCUUGGACGAUCAUGAUCCACGUUCACUUGCAAGUACGUAGCUACGUCGAUUGUAUGCAAAAAAGAAAAAUGGAAGCGUUACGCGAGCAGGUUUCAGAAAAGAAAAAUAAAACAGGAAAGUUAAGGAGGAAGACUACUGCCUGAAGGAGACAAUGCAGAAAGCCUGGUGACAUAAGGAGCCCAACCAUGCUCUGUGCUCGUCUGAGUUGCGCUCAUGUUGAUAGGAUUUUCAAAAUGCCGUGGAACCCUGGGAGCAGAGCAGACCGGUGGAAAGGUAAUGACGCUGCAGCGCACAGUAAAAACCGUGGCACUCUUUGAUUCUGUUGUUUAAAAAAAAGAACAAAAGUUCACUCUCGUCCUUUCAAAAAAAUUUAAUUGCCCUUUUAUUUUUUCGGCCGCGGCUUAAGCAGAGAGCGAAGGGGGCCGGAGCGGACUUUAUUUUGGAAUUUAUGCCGCUGGAGUUUCCACAUAAAAAGCGAUCCGUCUCCAUUAACAGGGGAGCCGGGUUCAAACCCCGCCCGGCUGCCUCCAGCCGCCCCGCGCGUGCGGCGUUCUGUGGGAAGCUGCGCUCGGGGGCAUCUGGAUCCCAUUUCGGCGGAUCUUCGGGGCGCCUCUCGGAGCGCCGCGCUGCCCUCCUCACCCCGGCUCCCGCCCCGGCCGCGCCGACAUCCCCCUCCGAGAGGGGUGGCUUUGUCCCCGCCGCUCCGACCGGCGGGUUUGAUUCACCUGACUUCUUAAAAGCGUGACUCAGCGGCAGCGGCUGCUGCUCUCUUAGCUGCUGGAACACUCACACACUUUAAACAGUUGGGGGGGGUGGGGGGGGGAGGAUUUAAUAUCAGGUCCAUUAUAGACUUUCUGGAGAUUAGUAAAGAGUCAACGAGCGGACGAUUCUGAUUUGAUCCACAUGCGUCUGGCACUGUGGCUGUGUAUAGACACGAACCCCCCAAAGAUAAAAAAACAAAAAAACAAACAGUGCCCUGAGCCUGCCCGCCUGGCCUCCUGCACACCCCACCUGCCGCCGGUGAUGUCAUCUGUUUGCAAGCAAUGCGCUUUCACGCGAAUCGUAACCGGGGUAAUCAUUAGAUGAAGUCCUGGAGGGGGAGGGCGAUGGGGUUGUGUAGGUGGUUGUGCUCUUAACUGUGGCCUUGUGAUCUUUGAUCAAAGGGACGUUGGGCCUGCACUCAAUAGGCUCAGUGAAGCACAAUGUCACCAGGAGUUACUCACUGAACAGGCUGCCUCUCAGGAGCCAGGCAGGGCCCACAGUCAAAUGUAGCAACUGUUUGCUUAUGGAUUACAUGCCCUUUCUAAUUUAAGCUGCAGAAAUUGAUUUGGUUGUAAUAUGCAAAGUGCACAUUUUAUACCAAUUAAAUCCCCCCCCCCCCCCGUUUCUUGUGGUCUGUGGUCCACCAUCUGUGGAUUUCAGUUGCUGGCAGCAGUGUGCCUCUUGUUUGUCCCAUUGUAUGAAGCUGAUUCCACCAUUAAUACGUGUCUGUGAUCAUUUGUGAUCUGCUAUGAAAUGACAGUAUUCAGCUGUAAAUAAUAUACCAUGCAGGCUUUAGAAUACAUACCAAAGAACACGCUCAAGAAUAAAGCAGAAUUAUUCUUUGCAAAUGGCUCACAAGUCAGUCCAAAAAAGACCUAAGUGUGAGAAUAAAAUCAGUGGCAAUGGAUUCAUGCUCCACUCAGUUUUGUACUUAAGAGCCUGAUAUGGUGUUACCUGAUGACUGCAGAUGGCUUCAUUAUUGCAUCCGUCGUUCA